Long non-coding RNA from Daphnia carinata, 399 nucleotides. RefSeq lists it as uncharacterized. NCBI's taxonomy places the organism in Eukaryota, Metazoa, Arthropoda, Branchiopoda, Diplostraca, Daphniidae. The record is from RefSeq and is a predicted model, not a curated record. The transcript is spliced from 3 exons.
AGGAUCGUCCUUUGUAACUUUACUGCUACAACUACAUCAUGGUCGGACAUCAGAUGUACACCAACAAGUUUCACACACGACAAUGAACUAGCAAAUGGCGACUGAUGGCUGUUCACAAAACUCAAGCAACGUUGCAACACAUUUCAAAAUGUACGGCGAAUUCAAUUUAAGAAACAACUUUUUAGUUUUCUCUCGCACAGCAAGAUACUAUGCAAAAACCAAAUUAAAACAAGGAGAUGGCUGGUUGUCUUUCGGGUUUAUAAAGUUUCACAGAUUGGAUGGGAGAAUGGAAAGAUUUCUCCCUAGAUAACCCCACCAACCAGUACUGUCACGUCACUGCACAUACAGAGAAGGAAAUUCAAAAGUUAUUCAAAAUUGAAUACACAUUUUACCAUCAGC